Molecule: ribosomal RNA, 470 nt
Filed under: uncultured bacterium
Lineage: Bacteria
Description: bacterial SSU rRNA
Rfam family: Bacterial small subunit ribosomal RNA
Source: RNAcentral
CGCUAUCACUCCUACGGGGAGGCAGCAGUGAGGAAUAUUGGUCAAUGGUCGCAAGACUGAACCAGCCAUGCCGCGUGCAGGAAGACGGUCCUAUGGAUUGUAAACUGCUUUUAUACAGGAAGAAACCCUCCCACGUGUGGGAGCUUGACGGUACUGUAGGAAUAAGGAUCGGCUAACUCCGUGCCAGCAGCCGCGGUAAUACGGAGGAUCCAAGCGUUAUCCGGAAUCAUUGGGUUUAAAGGGUCCGUAGGCGGCCUUAUAAGUCAGUGGUGAAAGCCCAUCGCUCAACGAUGGAACUGCCAUUGAUACUGUAAGGCUUGAAUUAUUGUGAAGUAACUAGAAUAUGUAGUGUAGCGGUGAAAAUGCUUAGAUAUUACAUGGAAUACCAAUUGCGAAGGCAGGUUACUAACAAUGGAUUGACGCUGAUGGACGAAAGCGUGGGGAGCGAACAGGAUUAGAUACCCUGGUAG